GAAAUGUAUAAAUGAGCUGCAUCAUCUACGCCGAAUGCACUUUACAGAAACCAGAUACGCCGGGAAGAUGACCACUAUGAUGAGUAUUGUCCUGAGUCUGCUGGUAGUCACCGCCUUGGUCCCUGAUUUGACCUCUUCCUUGCACCUGAAUGGUGGAUGUUAUUCCAUGCAUGACUGUCACCACCACAUGAGCUGUUUUUGGUGGUGCAUGAGAUCUGGAUUCCUGGCAGCUCGCUGUGACCAAUCUGGCCUGUGUCCGUUUUAUCCAAAAAACUAUAAAUGUCGCUGUGUUAGAUAGUGGUAUUGAAUCAUACUCCUAAAACUGAUUCAGCAAUCACAAUCAGUCCUGAUUGUUUUACUUGCAUUAAAUUUUAAAGUCAUA
Molecule: long non-coding RNA, 382 nt
Organism: Ostrea edulis (European flat oyster)
Lineage: Eukaryota; Metazoa; Mollusca; Bivalvia; Ostreida; Ostreidae
Exons: 2
Source: RefSeq, a predicted model, not a curated record